GAAAAACAUGAAUGUCGAGCG
This 21-nucleotide microRNA is filed under the name Medicago truncatula (barrel medic). RNAcentral's name for it is "mtr-miR2592a-3p". The record is from miRBase by way of RNAcentral. Lineage: Eukaryota; Viridiplantae; Streptophyta; Magnoliopsida; Fabales; Fabaceae.